Molecule: ribosomal RNA, 1113 nt
Filed under: Methylobacter sp.
Lineage: Bacteria; Pseudomonadati; Pseudomonadota; Gammaproteobacteria; Methylococcales; Methylococcaceae
Description: partial 23S ribosomal RNA
Rfam family: Bacterial large subunit ribosomal RNA
Source: RNAcentral
GGUCAAGCAUUUAAGCGUGCGUGGUGGAUGCCUUGGCAGCCAGAGGCGAUGAAGGACGUUGUAGGCAACGAAAUGCCUCGGGGAGCCGUCAAACAGGCUUUGAUCCGGGGGUGUCCGAAUGGGGAAACCCACCCGACUUGUCGGGUAUCUUGCACUGAAUAAAAUAGGUGCAAGAAGCGAACGCGGGGAACUGAAACAUCUAAGUACCCGCAGGAAAAGAAAUCAAUUGAGAUUCCCUGAGUAGCGGUGAGCGAAAGGGGAUUAGCCCUUAAGUUGAGUUGGCGUUAGUGGAACGUUCUGGAAAGUACGGCGAUAGAGGGUGAUAGCCCCGUACACGAAAAUUCCAAUUCAAUGAAAACGAGUAGGUCGGGACACGUGUAAUCCUGAUUGAAUAUGGGGGGACCAUCCUCCAAGGCUAAAUACUCCUGGCUGACCGAUAGUGAACAAGUACCGUGAGGGAAAGGCGAAAAGAACCCCGGUGAGGGGAGUGAAAUAGACCCUGAAACCGCGCACGUACAAGCAGUCGGAGCCCCUUCGUGGGGUGACGGCGUACCUUUUGUAUAAUGGGUCAGCGAGUUAUUGUCAGUAGCAAGGUUAACCGUGUAGGGGAGCCGUAGGGAAACCGAGUCUUAAUAGGGCGAUUUAGUUGCUGGCAAUAGACCCGAAACCGAGCGAUCUAGCCAUGGGCAGGUUGAAGGUGCCGUAACAGGCACUGGAGGACCGAACCGAAUAAUGUUGAAAAAUUAUCGGAUGACCUGUGGCUCGGAGUGAAAGGCUAAUCAAGCUCGGAGAUAGCUGGUUCUCCUCGAAAACUAUUUAGGUAGUGCCUCGUGUCAAUUGACUGCUGGGGGUAGAGCACUGUGUCGGCUAGGGGGUCAUCCCGACUUACCAACCCGAUGCAAACUCCGAAUACCAGUAAGUUUUACCACGGGAGACAGACGGCGGGUGCUAACGUCCGUCGUCAAGAGGGAGACAACCCAGACCGCCAGCUAAGGUCCCAAAUAUCAGUUAAGUGGGAAACGAUGUGGGAAGGCUUAGACAGCUAGGAGGUUGGCUUAGAAGCAGCCAUCCUUUAAAGAAAGCGUAAUAGCUCACUAGUCGAGUCGGCCUGCG